Molecule: transfer RNA, 93 nt
Filed under: Thermomonas sp.
Lineage: Bacteria; Pseudomonadati; Pseudomonadota; Gammaproteobacteria; Lysobacterales; Lysobacteraceae
Also listed under: 1 other name
Description: tRNA-Ser
Rfam family: tRNA
About the family: Transfer RNA (tRNA) molecules are approximately 80 nucleotides in length. Their secondary structure includes four short double-helical elements and three loops (D, anti-codon, and T loops). Further hydrogen bonds mediate the characteristic L-shaped molecular structure. tRNAs have two regions of fundamental functional importance: the anti-codon, which is responsible for specific mRNA codon recognition, and the 3' end, to which the tRNAs corresponding amino acid is attached (by aminoacyl-tRNA synthetases). tRNAs cope with the degeneracy of the genetic code in two manners: having more than one tRNA (with a specific anti-codon) for a particular amino acid; and 'wobble' base-pairing, i.e. permitting non-standard base-pairing at the 3rd anti-codon position.
Source: RNAcentral
GGAGACUUGCCCGAGCGGCUGAAGGGGCUCCCCUGCUAAGGGAGUAUGGGGCUUAAAACUCCAUCGAGGGUUCGAAUCCCUCAGUCUCCGCCA